RNAcentral lists this ribosomal RNA (465 nucleotides) under uncultured bacterium. RNAcentral's name for it is "partial 16S ribosomal RNA". It matches the Rfam family "Bacterial small subunit ribosomal RNA", at positions 28 to 507 of the family's 1533-position model. The record is from RNAcentral.
GAUGAACGCUGGCGGCGUGCUUAACACAUGCAAGUCGAACGAUGAAGCCCAGCUUGCUGGGUGGAUUAGUGGCGAACGGGUGAGUAACACGUGAGUAACCUGCCCUUAACUCUGGGAUAAGCCUGGGAAACUGGGUCUAAUACCGGAUAGGAGCGUCCACCGCAUGGUGGGUGUUGGAAAGAUUUAUCGGUUUUGGAUGGACUCGCAGCCUAUCAGCUUGUUGGUGAGUAAUGGCUCACCAAGGCGACGACGGGUAGCCGGCCUGAGAGGGUGACCGGCCACACUGGGACUGAGACACGGCCCAGACUCCUACGGGAGGCAGCAGUGGGGAAUAUUGCACAAUGGGCGCAAGCCUGAUGCAGCGACGCCGCGUGAGGGAUGACGGCCUUCGGGUUGUAAACCUCUUUCAGUAGGGAAGAAGCGAAAGUGACGGUACCUGCAGAAGAAGCACCGGCUAACUACGUG